Molecule: ribosomal RNA, 216 nt
Filed under: Glomeromycotina sp.
Lineage: Eukaryota; Fungi; Glomeromycota
Description: partial small subunit ribosomal RNA
Rfam family: Eukaryotic small subunit ribosomal RNA (bases 75-216)
Source: RNAcentral
GGGUCAGUAGGUUGGUCGUGCCACCGGUACGUACUGGUCUCACUGAUUCCUCCCUCCUGAAGAACCGUAAUGCCAUUAAUUUGGUGUUGCGGGGAAACAGGACUGUUACUUUGAAAAAAUUAGAGCGUUUAAAGCAGGCUAACGCUUGAAUACAUUAGCAUGGAAUAAUGAAAUAGGACGAUCGAUCCUAUUUUGUUGGUUUCUAGGAUUGACGUA